ACCUAGCUGGCUCAGUUGGUGGAGCAUGUGACUCUUGAUCUCAGGGUCAUGAGUUCAAGCCUCAUGUUGGAUG
Molecule: transfer RNA, 73 nt
Filed under: Felis catus (domestic cat)
Lineage: Eukaryota; Metazoa; Chordata; Mammalia; Carnivora; Felidae
Also listed under: 3 other names
Rfam family: tRNA
About the family: Transfer RNA (tRNA) molecules are approximately 80 nucleotides in length. Their secondary structure includes four short double-helical elements and three loops (D, anti-codon, and T loops). Further hydrogen bonds mediate the characteristic L-shaped molecular structure. tRNAs have two regions of fundamental functional importance: the anti-codon, which is responsible for specific mRNA codon recognition, and the 3' end, to which the tRNAs corresponding amino acid is attached (by aminoacyl-tRNA synthetases). tRNAs cope with the degeneracy of the genetic code in two manners: having more than one tRNA (with a specific anti-codon) for a particular amino acid; and 'wobble' base-pairing, i.e. permitting non-standard base-pairing at the 3rd anti-codon position.
Source: Rfam by way of RNAcentral